GUGACACUUUAGUAAGUUUUAGAUACAGUGUAAUAUAAAUAAUAGUGAUUGACUUGCUUGGUAAAAGUAUUACUUAACUUAGAGGCAGUUCUGGCACUGGAAGGGUUAAUUCACCCAAAGAAAGAGAAAUUAGAAGUCCGUUUCAACAAGCUGAGAACUAGGAGUGGAGAGUGGGGAAGUCCGUUUUAACAAGCCGAGGUCUGGGAGUGGAGAAGGUAGAAUUCAGAGUUACAAGCCGAGGUCUAGGAGUGGAGAAGGUAGAAAUCCGUUUACAAGCCGAGGUCGAGAAGUGGAGAAGGUAGAAAUCCGUUUACAAGCCGAGGUCGA
This is a non-coding RNA of Pelobates cultripes (western spadefoot toad), 327 nucleotides long. Lineage: Eukaryota; Metazoa; Chordata; Amphibia; Anura; Pelobatidae. The record is from the annotation of a GenBank genome assembly.